This 27-nucleotide non-coding RNA is filed under the name Mus musculus (house mouse). Lineage: Eukaryota; Metazoa; Chordata; Mammalia; Rodentia; Muridae. The record is from RNAcentral.
GAAGCAGGUGAAGAAUUCUCCUCUGAG